GUGCUCACUUGGGCAGCACCUAUGCUAAAAAGAGAACGAUACAGAGAAGAUCAGCACGGCCCCUGUGCAAGGAUGACAUGCACAUUCAUGAAGCGUUCCAUAUUUUU
Small nuclear RNA from Loxodonta africana (African savanna elephant), 107 nucleotides. Lineage: Eukaryota; Metazoa; Chordata; Mammalia; Proboscidea; Elephantidae. The record is from Ensembl.